RNAcentral lists this transfer RNA (61 nucleotides) under Ampullaceana lagotis. Its description in RNAcentral is "tRNA-Val". Lineage: Eukaryota; Metazoa; Mollusca; Gastropoda; Lymnaeidae. The record is from RNAcentral.
AAAGAUAAAGUAUUAUUGUACUUUUUAGUUACAUUAAAAAGGUCUCUUUAGAGUAUCUUUA